GACGAACGCUGGCGGCGUGCCUAACACAUGUAAGUCGCACGGGACUGGAGGGCAACUUCCAGUUCAGUGGCAGACGGGUGCGUAACACGUGAGGAACUUGUCCAACGGCGGGGAUAGCCGGCCCAACGGCCGGGUAAUACCGCAUACGAUCAUUUGGGGGCAUCCCUGAAUGAAGAAAGCAGCCGCAAGGUUGCGCCGAUGGAGAGUCUCGCGGCCUAUCAGCAGUUGGCGGGGUAAUGGCCCACCAAGGCGACGACGGGUAGCUGGUCUGAGAGGAUGGCCAGCCACAUUGGGACUGAGACACGGCCCAGACUCCUACGGGAGGCAGCAGUGGGAAUCUUGCGCAAUGGCCGCAAGGCUGACGCAGCGACGCCGCGUGUGGGAUGACGGCCUGGUU
RNAcentral lists this ribosomal RNA (397 nucleotides) under uncultured bacterium. RNAcentral's name for it is "bacterial SSU rRNA". It matches the Rfam family "Bacterial small subunit ribosomal RNA", at positions 28 to 424 of the family's 1533-position model. The record is from RNAcentral.